CCGAAAAGAAAAAGUGUAUAUUGAAGUUCCUCAGGAUGAGGAGGAAGAAGAGGUUCCACAAUAUGAAGAAGUAACCAGAUAUGAGAAGGAAGUAAUCCAUUACGAGGAGGAAGUCCAACAUUAUGAAGAAGUUAGUCACUAUGAGGAAGAAGCUCCUCAGUAUGAAGAAGUUCCUCAAUAUGAAGAGGAAGAAGUCACCCAUUAUGAAGAAGAAGCUGCUUAUUAUGAAGAGGAAGUUCCUCAAUAUGAGGAGGAGGAGGUGGAAAUUCCUCAAUAUGAAGAGGAGGCUCCACCACCAGUUAGAGUGCCUGAGGUGCCCAAGAAGGCUGUUCCAGAGGAAAAAAUACCUGUGCUGAAGAAAAAGGAAGCUCCUCCAGCAAAAGGUAUAUCAUCGCUUGAAGUUAGCAGGAACUCUCUGAUUAUAUAACUUAUACCGUGUUUCAGAUACUUCACUUGAACAUUACUUUUCU
This 470-nucleotide long non-coding RNA is filed under the name Gallus gallus (chicken). RNAcentral's name for it is "long non-coding RNA NONGGAT008498". The record is from RNAcentral. Lineage: Eukaryota; Metazoa; Chordata; Aves; Galliformes; Phasianidae.